UACAGAGGGGGCAAGUGUUGUUCGGAAUUACUGGGCGUAAAGGGCGCGUAGGCGGCCAACUAAGUCGGACGUGAAAUCCCCGGGCUCAACCCGGGAACUGCGUCCGAUACUGGAUGGCUUGAAUCCGGGAGAGGGAUGUGGAAUUCCAGGUGUAGCGGUGAAAUGCGUAGAUAUCUGGAGGAACACCGGUGGCGAAGGCGGCAUCCUGGACCGGUAUUGACGCUGAGGCGCGAAAGCCAGGGGAGCAAACGGG
Molecule: ribosomal RNA, 253 nt
Filed under: uncultured bacterium
Lineage: Bacteria
Description: partial 16S ribosomal RNA
Rfam family: Bacterial small subunit ribosomal RNA
Source: RNAcentral